CAGGAAUAGCCCAAUAAUCUGAGAAGAUUUUAAAGUUUGAAUGGAGUUUCUAGGUGAAAGUAUGACAAAGUAGUUAAGUUUCAAAAACAAGCAAGUUUUAGCAGAAUUGUGGAAGUUUUCCAUUCAUUUCAAUGGGACAAAUUAAAGGAAAAAAGUGUAAUAUUUUAAAAAGUAUAACAGUAAUAAACACCAAAAGUCAUUGCCGGAAAGAGCAGAAAGAGCAGAACAGUAUAGAGUUUGAACUGAGAAAAUCGGCUGAAAACUGAGGAAGUAGUUAAGUGCCAAAAAGUGUACGGAAGCAACUAGAAGAAUAAUAAUAAAGAAUAAAGAGAAACAGGAACUCAAUAGUGUGGAAGCCCUUUAAGGGCAUCCACACAACUAGAAAAAUUUGCAUUUCCUGCGAAAAUGCUGUGUGGAUGCCUUAACGCUGAAGCUGUCUGCUGAAAAGCUGAAAAAGCUGAAAAGUUGCAAAAAGUUGUAUGGUGGUGAAAAGAAAAAAAAAAGCAGCAGAAGCUGCUGAGAAUUGUGCUGAGAAGAGUUGAAAAGGCGGAAAAUUUUGCAGAAAAGAGGUAAAUCAGCAGAAUUUCUGCAGAAAAGAGGCAGAACAAAAGAGAAAACUAAAAACAGGUUUUGCCCUGAGCAGGAUUCGAACCUGGCCCUACCAGACUCAAAGCAGCUACUCAUCUCACUGACCCAAACACAUUCUCACAGAGAAGAGGUGGACAGACUGACAAUGCUGCUGAAAUGAGCAGAAGCUGCUGAGAAUUGUGCUGAUAAGAGGUGAAAAGGCUGAAAAUUUUGCAGAAAAGAGGUGAAUCAGAAGAAUUUCUGCAGAAAAGAGGCAAAGGAGCAGAAACGUGCGCUGAAAAGAGAUGAAUCAGCAGAGUUUCUGCUGAAAAGAGUUUUUUUUUCUGAAAACAGCCCCAAAAAACGGAAUUUGUGCUGAAAAGGGGUGAAAAAAAUGAAAAUUUUGCUGAAAAGGGGUGAAGAAGGUAAAGUAUACCAAAUCAAAGUAUUUGUGCCAAAACAUAGUGUUUCUGCCAUAUUGUGGUAUUUGUGCCCCAAAAGUUACUACAUUACAUCUUUGCAGCGUUCACUAAGGCACUACCCAAAAGGCGCCACAAGAGGGCACUCCAACACAGUGUCAGCAGUGUCUGAAGAUAUAUUGGCACAAGCCUCAUGUCCUAACUUUGCUUUGUUAAAGAGAUAUGGCAAUUUGAAAAUGCCUCCCGUUACAGAAUUUCAGCUCUGAAUUUCAAAACCUCCCCAUAGACUUUGAAUGGGGACUUGUCAGACCUUGUGUCACUCCGAGGCAAAUUGCGAAAAAACGGUAAACCUCACAAUAAAGAUAGUGACAUUGUCUGAAAGCCAGCAAAAAUACCUACGUUUUGAUGUAUAAUUUGUGGGGAUUGAGUGGAAAUUGAGUGAGUAGCAAGAAGUUGUUUAGACAUGAAGAGAAAAUUCAGAACGGACCAGCACUCACUCUGACUUAAUUGCAUAGCAACCAUAGCAACGCAUGUAUUUUCUGAAAAAUCACAAUUUUGCAACUGAAAACUUAAAGAGAGAUAAGAUUAAAACGGUAGAAGAUCUGAAAAAGCUGAAUCAGACAGGAAUAGCCCAAUAAUCUGAGAACAUUUUAAAGUUUGAAUGGAGUUUCUAGGUGAAAGUAUGACAAAGUAGUUAAGUUUCAAAGACAAGCAAGUUUUAGCAGAAUUGUGGAAGUUUUCCAUUCAUUUCAAUGGGACAAAUUAAAGGAAAAAAGUGUAAUAUUUUAAAAAGUAUAACAGUAAUAAACACCAAAAGUCAUUGCCGGAAAGAGCAGAAAGAGCAGAACAGUAUAGAGUUUGAACUGAGAAAAUCGGCAGAAAACUGUGGAAGUAGUUAAGUGCCAAAAAGUGUACGGAAGCAACUAGAAGAAUAAUAAUAAAGAAUAAAGAGAAACAGGAAAAACAAUUGUGUGGAAGCCCUUUAGGGCAUCCACACAACUAGAAAAAUCUGCAUUUCCUGCGAAAAUGCUGUGUGGAUGCCUUAACGCUGAAGCUGUCUGCUGAAAAUGACUGAAAAAGAUGAAAAGCUGCUAAAAAUUGUAUGGCAGUAAAGAAACUGAAAAAUUCUGCUGAAAAGAGCUGAAGAAGCAGAAUUUUUUGCUGAAAAGCGGUGAAAAGGCAAAGAUUCUGCUUAAAAGGGGUAAAGAAAUUUCUACUGAAAAGAGGGGAAAAAGUUUCUUCUGAAAUGACCAGAAGAUACUGAGACUUGUACUGAUAAGAGGUGAAAGGCUGAAAAUUCUGCUUAAAAUAGGUGAAUCAGCAGAAUUUCUACUGAAAACAGGUAAAGAAGCAGAAAGUUGCACUGAAAACAGGUGAAACAGCAGAAUUUCUGCUAAAAAACAGAUUUCUGCUGAAAACACCUGAAAAAGCCGGGAUUUGUGUUGAAAAGGGGUGACGAAACUCACAAUUCUGCUGAAACUGGGUGAAGAAGAGGUGUUGUGGUCUUGAGAAGAGUUAAAUAAGUUGAACUGAUAUGUUUGGGUACAAAUACUAUGAUUUGGCAAUAAUACUGCGUUUUAGCACAACUACUGAGAUUUGAUUAAAAUAUUAUGACUUUGUACAAAUACAAUGUUUUGGCACAAAUACUAUGAUUUAGUUCGAAUGCUAUGAUUUGAAACAAAUACUAUGAUUUGGCAGAAAUACUAUGAUUUAUUAGAAAUACUAUAAUUUACCAGAAAUACUAUGUUUCUGCAGAAACACUCUGAUUUUGAAAAUUACUAUGCCUUAGUAGUAAUACUAUAACAUAACAGAUAUACUGUGAUUAUGCAGAUAUUCUGUUUUUACACAAAUACUAUAAUAUGGCAGAAAUACUAUGUUUUAGUACAAAUACUAUGAUUUGCUUUAAAUACUAUGAUUUGGCACAUAUACUAUAUUCAGCAGAUAUACUAUAACAUAACAGAAAGUCUACGACUUAGUAGUAAUGCUAUAACAUAACAGAUAUAGUAUGAUUUUGCAGACAGUCUAUGUUUUUGCACAAAUACCACAAUAUGGCAGAAAUACUAUGAUUCGGCACAAGUACUAUGAUUUAGUACAAAUACUAUGAUUGGGCAGAAAUAGUAUGAUUUAGCAGAAAUACUAUGAUUGGGUACAAAUACUACAAAUUGGCAGAAAUACUGUGACUUAGUAGCAAUACUAUAACAUAACAGAUAUACUGUGAUUAUGCAGACAUUCUGUUUUUACAGAAAUACUAUAAUAUGGCAGAAAUACUAUGUUUUAGUACAAAUACUAUGAUUUGCUUUAAAUACUACGAUUUGGCACAUAUACUAUAUUCAACACAUAUACUUUAACAUAUGAUUUAGAAGAAAUACUAUGACUCCAUACAAAUACGAUGCUUUGGCACAAAUACUAUGAUUUGCUAUAAAUACUAUGAUUUGGCACAUAUACUAUGAUUUGCUAUAAAUACUAUGAUUUGGCACAUAUACUAUAUUCAGCAGAUAUACUAUAACAUAACAGAAAGUCUACGACUUAGAAGUAAUACUAUAACAUAACAGAUAUACUGUGAUUAUGCAGACAUUCUGUUUUUACACAAAUACUAUAAUAUGGCAGAAAUACUAUGAUUCGGCACAAGUACUAUGAUUUAGUACAAAUACUAUGAUUGGGCAGAAAUACUAUGUUUCAGUACAAAUACUACGAAAUACUACAAAUACCUGAAAACAGGUGAAGAAGCACAAAUUUUUGCUGAAAAGUGGUGAAAAGAAAUUUUGCCAUGAGCAGGAUUUGAACCUGGCCUUCCUGGUCUCAAGGCAGCUACUCAUCUCACUGAGCCAAACUCAUUCUCUCAAAGAAGAGGUGGAUAGACUGACAAUUCUGCUGAAAUCAGCAGAAGCUGCUGAGAAUUGUGCAGAAAAGAGGUGAAUCAGGAGAAUUUCUGCAGAAAAGAGGCAAAGAAGCAGAACGUUGCGCUGAAAAGAGGUGAAUCAGCAGAGUUUCUGCUGAAAAGAGUUUUUUUCCUGAAAACAGCCCAAAAAAGCUGGAAUUUGUGCUGAAAAGGGGUGAAAAAAAUGAAAAUUUUGCUGAAAAGGGGUGAAGAAGCUAAAGUAUACCAAAUCAAAGUAUUUGUGCCAAAACAUAGUAUUUCUGCCAUAUUGUGGUAUUUGUGCCACAAAAGUUACUACAUUACAACAUGAAUACGGAUUAAAGAUGAAAGAAACUGGCAACAAAUUCCUCCACUACAAACCAGUCUGAUACCACUUCUUUGCAGUGUUCACGUUUACUAAGGCACUACCCAAAAGGCGCCACAAGAGGGCACUCCAACACAAGAGAUGACCUAUGUACACUGAUGCACUUAGUAACAGUCAGCCUCCUACUUAGCCACUACGUAAUACAGCGAUAUUACAGUGUACAAAUUCACAUAAAUUUGCAGGGGGAACAAACAAAGCAGGAACAAGCCUAAAACAAUCAAAUAACUGUGCUGCCAUAGCUAUUGCUAACUAGCACAUACGCUAAAGGUAACUAAAACCAAUACACACAAGUAGCAGGGUAAACAUCUUAAGCAUGGAACAUUAACUCACGUUUAUGUGACACACACCAUCCCCAACAAAUACAGGAUGGGCUAUUUGCUCCCCUUCCCAGCAGCUCUCUCCUCAAUCGUUAGCCCAGGAACGAAGGAAGACCAUCUAGCUCAGAAGUCCCAUGAAUUCCCUCACUGCUCAGAGGCUGCUGGGUAAUGUAGCUCACAAUAACACAGGUUUUUCUACAAGCACAAAUACUAUAACAUAGCAGAAGUACUGUGAUUUUGUUGAAAUACUAUGCUUUAGGACAAAUAGUAUGAUUUGGCAGAAAUACUAUGUUUUAGGACAUAUACUAUGAUUUGGCUCAAAUACUAUGAUAUAGCAGCAAUACUAUGUUUUGGCACAAAUACUAUAAUUGAGUGCAAGUACUUUAAGAUAACAGAAAUACUAUGAUUUAGCAGAAAUACAAUGUUUUUGCAGAAACACUGUAAUUUCACUCAAAUACUUUGAAAUAGCCGUAAUACUAUGAUUUGGCAGAACAUAACAGAAAUUCUACGACUUAGUAGUAAUACUAUAACAUAACAGAAAUAUUAACUGGGCACAAAUACUAUAAUUUGGCACAAGUACCAUGUUUUGGAAAAAUCCCAUAAUUUGGCACAAAUACUAUGAUUUGGCAGACACUAUGAUUUAGCAGAGAUAAUAUGAUUUGGCAGAAAUACUAAACUUUGGCACAAAUACUAUAAUUGAGUACUUUAAGAUGAGAGAAAUACUAUGAUUUAGCAGAAAUACUAUGUUUCAGUACAAAUACUAUGACAAAGCAGAAAUACUACGACUUAGAAGUAAUACUAUAACAAAAGGGAUUCCUCAAAAUACUAUGAAAUUGCAGUAAUUCUAUGAUUUGGCAGAAAUACUGUACUUUGUACAAAUACAAUGCUUUGGUACAAAUACUAUAUUUUGAUUUGAAUACUAUGAUUUGGCACGAGUAGUAUGAUUUAGUACAAAUACUACGAAUUGGCAGAAAUACUGUGACUUAGUAGUAAUACUAUAACAUAACAGAUAUACUGUGAUGUUGAAGACAUAGUAUGUUUUUGCACAUAUGCUACGAUUUCGCUCAAAUACUGUGAAAUUGCAGUAAUACUAUGGUUUUGAAGGAAUACUAUGAUUUGGUAGAAAUACUAUGCCUUAGUAGUAAUACUAUAACAUAACAGAUAUACUAUGAUUUUGCAGACAGUCUAUGUUUUUGCACAACUAGCACAAUGUGGCAGAAAUACUAUGAUUUGGCACAAGUACUAUGAUUUAGUAGAAAUACUCUUAUUGGCACAAACACUAUGUUUCAGUACAAAUACUAUGAUUUGGUAAUAAUACUGCGUUUUAGCACAACUACUGAGAUUUGAUUGAAAUACUAUGAUUUAGAAGAAAUACUAUGACUUCGUACAAAUACUACUAUGUUUUGGUUCGAAUACUAUGAUUUGCAAAAAAUACUAUGAUU
RNAcentral lists this long non-coding RNA (5987 nucleotides) under Oreochromis niloticus (Nile tilapia). Its description in RNAcentral is "lncRNA (ENSONIG00000033539.1)". The record is from RNAcentral. Lineage: Eukaryota; Metazoa; Chordata; Actinopteri; Cichliformes; Cichlidae.